Molecule: ribosomal RNA, 253 nt
Filed under: uncultured bacterium
Lineage: Bacteria
Description: partial 16S ribosomal RNA
Rfam family: Bacterial small subunit ribosomal RNA
Source: RNAcentral
UACAGAGGGUGCAAGCGUUGUUCGGAAUUAUUGGGCGUAAAGGGCGCGUAGGCGGUGCCACAAGUCACCUGUGAAAUCUCCGGGCUUAACUCGGAGCCUGCAGGCGAAACUGUGGUGCUGGAGUGUGGGAGAGGUGCGUGGAAUUCCCGGUGUAGCGGUGAAAUGCGUAGAUAUCUGCAGGAACACCCGUGGCGAAAGCGGCGCGCUGGACCACUACUGACGCUGAGGAACGAAAGCUAGGGGAGCAAACAGG